AACGAACGCUGGCGGCAUGCCUAACAGAUGCAAGUCGAACGAGACCUUCGGGUCUAGUGGCGCACGGGUGCGUAACGCGUGGGAACCUGCCCUUAGGUUCGGAAUAACUCCCCGAAAGGGGUGCUAAUACCGGAUAAUGUCUUCGGACCAAAGAUUUAUCGCCUUUGGAUGGGCCCGCGUUGGAUUAGCUAGUUGGUAGGGUAAAAGCCUACCAAGGCGACGAUCCAUAGCUGGUCUGAGAGGAUGAUCAGCCACACUGGGACUGAGACACGGCCCAGACUCCUACGGGAGGCAGCAGUGGGGAAUAUUGGACAAUGGGCGAAAGCCUGAUCCAGCAAUGCCGCGUGAGUGAUGAAGGCCUUAGGGUUGUAAAGCUCUUUUACCCGGGAUGAUAAUGACAGUACCGGGAGAAUAAGCUCCGGCUAACUCCGUG
This 433-nucleotide ribosomal RNA is filed under the name uncultured bacterium. RNAcentral's name for it is "partial 16S ribosomal RNA". It matches the Rfam family "Bacterial small subunit ribosomal RNA", at positions 29 to 507 of the family's 1533-position model. The record is from RNAcentral.